AUGAUCCAGGCGGUGAUGGUUAUCAGCACUCUGGGCAAGCCCCGCCUCCUCAAGUUCUACAAUUUCCAGGAUUCGGAGAAGCACCAGGAGCUGGUCCGCGGCGUCUUCCAGUUGUUAUCUGCGAGGCCCGAGGGUGUGAGCAAUUUCGUCGAGGCCGAUGCAAUCUUUGGACCGGGAACGAGACUGGUCUACAAGCAUUUGGCGACACUAUACUUCGUCUUUGUCUUUGAUAGCUCUGAGAAUGAGCUUGCCAUGCUCGACCUUGUACAAGUUUUUGUUGAAACAUUGAAUAGGUGCUUCAAGAAUGUAUGUGAGCUUGACAUUGUAUUUAACUUCAACAAGCUUCACACAGUUUUGGAUGAAAUGAUACUGGGAGGACAAGUGAUUGAAACAAGUUCAGAGCAAAUAAUGAAAUCUGUAGAAGAGAUUGCGAGGCUAGAGAAACAAUCAAGCACAACUAGCCUCAUACCAAAGUCAAUAUCGGAGCGUUUCAGCCGUUAA
This 501-nucleotide ribosomal RNA is filed under the name Triticum aestivum (bread wheat). RNAcentral describes it as "partial small subunit ribosomal RNA". The record is from RNAcentral. Lineage: Eukaryota; Viridiplantae; Streptophyta; Magnoliopsida; Poales; Poaceae.